UAGGGAAUCUUCCACAAUGGACGCAAGUCUGAUGGAGCAACGCCGCGUGAGUGAAGAAGGUUUUCGGACCGUAAAGCUCUGUUGUUGGUGAAGAAGGAUAGAGGUAGUAACUGGCCUUUAUUUGACGGUAAUCAACCAGAAAGUCACGGCUAACUACGUGCCAGCAGCCGCGGUAAUACGUAGGUGGCAAGCGUUGUCCGGAUUUAUUGGGCGUAAAGCGAGCGCAGGCGGAAGAAUAAGUCUGAUGUGAAAGCCCUCGGCUUAACCGAGGAAUUGCAUCGGAAACUGUUUUCUGAGUGCAGAAGAGGAGAGUAGAACUCCAUGUGUAGCGGUGGAAUGCGUAGAUAUAUGGAAGAAUACCAGUGGCGAAGGCGGCUCUCUGGUCUGCGACUGACGCUGAGGCUCGAAAGCAUGGGUAGCGAACAGGAUUAGAUACCCUGGUAGUCCAUGCCGUAAACGAUGAGUGCUAAGUGUUGGGAGGCUUCCGCCUCUCAGUGCUGCAGCUAACGCAUUAAGCACUCCGCCUGGGGGAGUACGACCGCAAGGUUGAAAC
RNAcentral lists this ribosomal RNA (553 nucleotides) under uncultured bacterium. RNAcentral describes it as "partial 16S ribosomal RNA". It matches the Rfam family "Bacterial small subunit ribosomal RNA", at positions 355 to 900 of the family's 1533-position model. The record is from RNAcentral.